GAUGAACGCUGGCGGCGUGCUUAACACAUGCAAGUCGAGCGAAGCACUUGCCAUUGACUCUUCGGAAGAUUUGGCAUUUGACUGAGCGGCGACGGGUGAGUAACGCGUGGGUAACCUGCCUCAUACAGGGGAAUAACAGUUAGAAAUGGCUGCUAAUGCCGCAUAAGCGCACAGGACCGCAUGGUCUGGUGUGAAAAACUGAGGUGGUAUGAGAUGGGCCCGCGUCUGAUUAGGUAGUUGGCGGGGUAACGGCCCACCAAGCCGACGAUCAGUAGCCGACCUGAGAGGGUGACCGGCCACAUUGGGACUGAGACACGGCCCAG
RNAcentral lists this ribosomal RNA (323 nucleotides) under uncultured bacterium. Its description in RNAcentral is "bacterial SSU rRNA". It matches the Rfam family "Bacterial small subunit ribosomal RNA", at positions 28 to 334 of the family's 1533-position model. The record is from RNAcentral.